GGUUCGAUCAUGGUCAGGAUUGAACGCUGGCGGGAUGUUUACACAUGCAAGUCGAACGGCAGCACGGACUUGUCUGCGUGGCGAGUGGCGAACGGGCGGAGAAUAAUGAACGUGCCUAGUAGCGGGGGAUAACUACGCGAAAGCGUAGUUAAUACCGCAUACGCCCUUCGGGGGAAAGCGGGGGACCUUCGGCUCGCACCACAGAGCGGCCGAUAUCGGAUUAGCUAGUUGGUGGGGUAACGGCUCACCAUGACGAUCCGUAGCUGGUUUGAGAGGACGACCGGCCACACUGGGACUGAGACACGGCCCAGACUCUACGGAGGCAGGGAAUUUUGAGCACGGGGGAAACCCCAUCCAGCCAUCCCCGCGUGUGCGAUGAAGGCCUUCUGGUUGUAAAAGCACUUUUGGCAGGAAAGAAACGGCAUGGAUAAUACCCCGUGCAACUGACGGUACCUGCAGAAUAAGCACCGGCUAACUACGUGCCAGCAGCCGCGGUAAUACGUAGGGUGCAAGCGUUAAUCGGAAUUACUGGGCGCAAAGCGUGUGCAGGCGGACCGGAAAAAGAAAGAUGUGAAAUCCCAGAGCUUAACUUUGGAACUGCAUUUUUAACUACCGAGCUACAGAGGCGUCAGAGGAGGUGAAUUCCGCGUGUAGCAGUGAAAGGUGUAGAUAUGCGGAGGAACACCGAUGGCGAAGGCAGCCUCCCGGGAUAACACUGACGCUCAUGCACGAAAGCGUGGGGAGCAAACAGAUUGAUGACCUGGUAGUCCACGCCCUAAACGAUGUCAACUAGCUGUUGGGGCCUUCGGGCUCGGUAGCGCAGCUAACGCGGUGAAGUUGACCGCCUGGGGAGUACGGUCGCAAGAUUAAACUCAAAGGAAUUGACGGGGACCCGCACAAGCGGUGGAUGAUGUGGACGACUGGAUGCAACGCGAAAACCUACCUACCCUUGACAUGUCUGGAAUCCCAAAGAGAUUUGGGAGUGCCUGCAAGAGAACCGAACACAGGUGCUGCAUGGCUGUCGUCAGCUCGUGUCGUGAGAUGUUGGGUUAAGUCUCGCAACGAGCGCAACCCUUGUCAUUAGUUGCUACGAAAGGCACUCUAAUGAGACUGCUGGUGACAAACCGGAGGGAAGGUGAUGACGUCAAGUCCUCAUGGCCUCUUAUGGGUAGGGCUUCACACGUCAUACAAUGGUCGGGACAGAGGGUCGCCAACCCGCGAGGGGGAGCCAAUCCCAGAAACCCGGAUCGUAGUCCGGAUCGCAGUCUGCAACUCGACUGCGUGAAGUCGGAAUCGCUAGUAAUCGCGGAUCAGCAUGUCGCGGUGAAUACGUUCCCAUCUGAAGACACCGCCCAGUCACACUACGGGAGUGGUUUUACCAGAAGUAGUUAGCCUAACCGUAAGGAGGGCGAUUACCAGAUUCAUAAUUGUGUGAAGUCGUAACAAGGUAG
RNAcentral lists this ribosomal RNA (1451 nucleotides) under uncultured Bordetella sp. Its description in RNAcentral is "partial 16S-23S ribosomal RNA intergenic spacer". It matches the Rfam family "Bacterial small subunit ribosomal RNA". Lineage: Bacteria; Pseudomonadati; Pseudomonadota; Betaproteobacteria; Burkholderiales; Alcaligenaceae. The record is from RNAcentral.